GGGCGCUUAGCUCAGCGGUAGAGCGCCGCCCUUACAAGGCGGAUGUCACUGGUUCGAACCCAGUAGCGCCCA
This is a transfer RNA of Actinospica robiniae DSM 44927, 72 nucleotides long. It matches the Rfam family "tRNA". Rfam says of the family: Transfer RNA (tRNA) molecules are approximately 80 nucleotides in length. Their secondary structure includes four short double-helical elements and three loops (D, anti-codon, and T loops). The record is from Rfam. NCBI's taxonomy places the organism in Bacteria, Bacillati, Actinomycetota, Actinomycetes, Catenulisporales, Actinospicaceae.